Molecule: unclassified non-coding RNA, 207 nt
Filed under: Ascomycota sp.
Lineage: Eukaryota; Fungi; Ascomycota
Description: partial contains small subunit ribosomal RNA, internal transcribed spacer 1, and 5.8S ribosomal RNA
Rfam family: Eukaryotic small subunit ribosomal RNA (bases 1-47)
Source: RNAcentral
AAAGUCGUAACAAGGUUUCCGUAGGUGAACCUGCGGAAGGAUCAUUACUAAAGAUUCACGUCUUUGGUUCAACUCGUGCACUGUUUACCCCUCUUCGGCAUUUCGGUGCUGUUGAGGCCCCUUUUCACCCUUUUUUUACUUUAAUUUGAUAACUUCUGUUAGGUGGCGAAUAAAAUAAAACUUUCAGCAACGGAUCUCUAGGCUCUU